This 376-nucleotide unclassified non-coding RNA is filed under the name soil metagenome. RNAcentral describes it as "partial contains 5.8S ribosomal RNA, internal transcribed spacer 2, and large subunit ribosomal RNA". The stretch from base 1 to 120 matches the Rfam family "5.8S ribosomal RNA", at positions 35 to 154 of the family's 154-position model. The record is from RNAcentral.
GAUGAAGAACGCAGCGAAAUGCGAUAAGUAAUGUGAAUUGCAGAAUUCAGUGAAUCAUCGAAUCUUUGAACGCAUCUUGCGCUCCUUGGUAUUCUGAGGAGCAUGCCUGUUUGAGUGUCAUUAAAUUCUCAACUACACUGACUUUGAAUUGGUGUGGCUUGGAUUUGGGGGGAAAAUUGUUGUGGGCUUUUUGUAUAGUCUGCUCCCCUGAAAUUGAUUAGCGGUACCUUUGUGGAACUGUCUACAGGUGUGAUAAUUAUCUACAUCUUAGACAUCUGCUGGAAUGCUGCUUUCUAAACCUUACUUGUAUUGACAAUCUUGACCUCAAAUCAGGUAGGACUACCCGCUGAACUUAAGCAUGUCAAUAAGCGGAGGA